GCCGGCCCCCUCCCAAACAUUAGUCCUGCAUGGUGAGUCAGGACAUAGGAGCAAAGAAAGUUCAUUGCCCCAAGGUGUGACAUUAUCACCACACUUACUCUCAUGAGGCCAUUUCUGAGGGAAAAAAGGUGCAACAACUCUGCAGGCUGGACUACUGCAAUGCCCUCCUCGUCGUGAUCCCAGCAAAAAGCCUCCAAAAGCUUCAACAUGUGCAAAACACCGCCGCCAGGAUCCUGACGAAGAUGCCCAAACACGCUCACAUUACACCUGUUCUCCGUAACCUCCACUGGCUUCCAAUCUCAAAAUGCAUCCAAUACAAAGUCUGUUUGCUUGCCUACCAGCGCAUUCAUGGACAUGCCCCGGACUAUCUCUCAGAACUCGUAGCCCAUCGCUCCAUUUCCAGACAACUUCGAUCCACUAAUACCAAGCUUCUGUUCACUCCAAGAUCAAACCUGAGAACAAUGGGCUACAGAGUGUUCCGGACAGCUGCUCCUGAACUGUGGAACGCAUUACCACCACGCCUGAGAAACCGACAGUCCCUGGAGUCAUUUAGGAAAGGGCUAAAGAUGUUUUUUUUUUUUCAAGUUCUAACAUGUUGCUAUUGUUUUUGAAAUGUUUUAUAAAUGUAUUUUUGUACUUUCCCUAUUGUAGCACUUUGAGAUCCUGUAUGUAAAGUGCAUUAUAAAUUAAAGGCAUUAUUAUUAUCAUUAUUAUUAUUAUUAUUAUUAUUAUUACUAUUAUUAUUAUUACUGCAGGACCAGCAUCAGCCUUUUUAAAUACAGGCAAUCUUUGUACAUAGUGUACAUCUGGUUUCUUUAAGCAGGACAAAAUUUUUUGUCACAGUUGCUCUUUACUUAAAAGCAAAGUGUCACAAAAUACCACUGAUAACUUUUUAUUGCUUUCACUCUGUAACGGUAAAAAAAAUAAGAAGAAUAUUUAUGUCACUUGUCAUUAGAAACGCAGACAUCACAGAUCCAGGAAUGACAAAAAGUUGGCAUUGACUGCUGCAAGUUGUGAAGAGAGCACUUACACACCUGCCUACAAGGAGGAAUGUAAUACAUCAAACGUGACUGUGAAUGACGUUUUUGGACUAUGGUGCAUUUCUGAAAAAGCAAAAGGGUCUGGCCUGAUGAGAAACGCAAUAAAAAAAAAUAAAAUAUAGGGAGUUGUUACUCGAGAGUAUGUCUCGUUCAGCUUUCUAGAAAAUCUGCUUAUUGUUUGCCAUCUCCUGAUAAAACUUUGUGCCUCUGGGACCCUUAAUUUGUUGUUUUUAAUAACUUUAAUACAACUCUGUGCAACAUGUUAGAUGGAAAAGUGUGAAUGGAGAAAAAUGGGCAUGUAGGGGAGAUAAAAUAAAGUGUUUAUUAUUUCCA
Molecule: long non-coding RNA, 1373 nt
Organism: Amphiprion ocellaris (clown anemonefish)
Lineage: Eukaryota; Metazoa; Chordata; Actinopteri; Pomacentridae
Exons: 3
Source: RefSeq, a predicted model, not a curated record